AUUACCCCCAAAAAAAAACAUAUACAGAACUCGGGGAGGCCUAUAUUAUAUACAUUAUAUAGGCCUUUCCCACAUACACAGCAAACUUUCAUACUCGAAGUUUGCAGUAAACAAAAGGCCGAUCGACGUUAUAGCGCACCGCCUAUACACAAAAGCAAAAAUGUCCGUUUAUAUACAAAUAUACGGCGUUUCGGUUUUGUUGGCGGGGGGUGCNUGUUGUGUGGAUAACGGCUCACAUAACGUGUCGCGAUGGAUGACUUGGCUUCCUAUUUCGUUGAAGAACGCAGUA
This 289-nucleotide unclassified non-coding RNA is filed under the name Leishmania tropica. RNAcentral's name for it is "sequence contains 18S rRNA gene, ITS1 and 5.8S rRNA gene". The record is from RNAcentral. Lineage: Eukaryota; Euglenozoa; Kinetoplastea; Trypanosomatida; Trypanosomatidae.